UUUGGUCACACAACUUCAAAAUAUUAUAAAACAAUCACUAAACUUUUCAAAAAUUUUCAUUUAAAUCACUGGACUGUUUAAUAUGGUCGAACCGUAAAGAAGAAAUCUCAUUUGAGAAAUACAAUCAUCGAUGCGCCACAGUUGUUUACUUUGAACCUUUGCCUAUGUGGCCAUGUUGAAAGCUACCUCUGAUGAUCUUGGUUCAUCAGCACAAUGUGUAAUGGGCCAAAUUUGCCCGACCCAAGAAAACACAAGAAAACCAAAACAAAAUAUAAAAUAAAAUAAACAAAUAAAAAAACCACAGUCCAUUACAGUCCAAUUACAAAAAAAACCAAGCCCAAAUUAAUAUUAAACCUAGACCCAACCCCAAAAGUACACCGGCCCAAAUGGCCCAAAAUUUUUUUAGAACAAACAGAACCCUAGGGUUCUCUCUCUCGCGCCGCAGCCAAACCCCGGCCCUGGCCUCCGUACCCUCCAGCAGCCAUGCAUACGCGUCUCCGUACUCUAGCCUAGACC
This 516-nucleotide long non-coding RNA is filed under the name Gossypium barbadense (sea-island cotton). RNAcentral describes it as "long non-coding RNA (GBAR_LNC009733)". The record is from RNAcentral. Lineage: Eukaryota; Viridiplantae; Streptophyta; Magnoliopsida; Malvales; Malvaceae.